Molecule: ribosomal RNA, 253 nt
Filed under: uncultured bacterium
Lineage: Bacteria
Description: partial 16S ribosomal RNA
Rfam family: Bacterial small subunit ribosomal RNA
Source: RNAcentral
UACGGAGGGUGCGAGCGUUAAUCGGAAUGACUGGGCGUAAAGGGCAUGUAGGCGGUUAAUUAAGUUGGGUGUGAAAGCCCCGGGCUCAACCUAGGAAUAGCACUUAAAACUGGUUAACUAGAGUAUUGUAGAGGAAGGUAGAAUUCCACGUGUAGCGGUGAAAUGCGUAGAGAUGUGGAGGAAUACCGGUGGCGAAGGCGGCCUUCUGGACAGAUACUGACGCUGAGAUGCGAAAGCGUGGGGAGCAAACAGG